GGCCGCGGCCAUACCAUGUAGGGAACACCGGUUCUCGUGUAAUCACCGAAGUAAGGCAACAUUAGGCCCGGUUAGAACUUGCAUGGGUGACCAACUGGGUACACCGGGUGUUGCGGCCG
RNAcentral lists this ribosomal RNA (119 nucleotides) under Opisthorchis viverrini. Lineage: Eukaryota; Metazoa; Platyhelminthes; Trematoda; Opisthorchiida; Opisthorchiidae. The record is from RNAcentral.